CCUACGGGAGGCAGCAGUGGGGAAUAUUGCACAAUGGGCGCAAGCCUGAUGCAGCCAUGCCGCGUGUGUGAAGAAGGCCUUCGGGUUGUAAAGCACUUUCAGCGGGGAGGAAGGCGGUGAGGUUAAUAACCUCAUCGAUUGACGUUACCCGCAGAAGAAGCACCGGCUAACUCCGUGCCAGCAGCCGCGGUAAUACGGAGGGUGCAAGCGUUAAUCGGAAUUACUGGGCGUAAAGCGCACGCAGGCGGUCUGUCAAGUCGGAUGUGAAAUCCCCGGGCUCAACCUGGGAACUGCAUUCGAAACUGGCAGGCUAGAGUCUUGUAGAGGGGGGUAGAAUUCCAGGUGUAGCGGUGAAAUGCGUAGAGAUCUGGAGGAAUACCGGUGGCGAAGGCGGCCCCCUGGACAAAGACUGACGCUCAGAUGCGAAAGCGUGGGGAGCAAACAGGAUUAGAUACCCGAGUAGUC
RNAcentral lists this ribosomal RNA (465 nucleotides) under uncultured Klebsiella sp. Its description in RNAcentral is "bacterial SSU rRNA". It matches the Rfam family "Bacterial small subunit ribosomal RNA", at positions 338 to 795 of the family's 1533-position model. Lineage: Bacteria; Pseudomonadati; Pseudomonadota; Gammaproteobacteria; Enterobacterales; Enterobacteriaceae. The record is from RNAcentral.